CAUAAAUAUCCAGUUGCUCCAGCACCAUUUGUUGAAAAGACUAUUAUUUCUGCACUAGACUGCCUUGAGGCUAGAUUUUAUAAAUACAUUUUUUAGGUUAUAAAAUAUUAAAUGUUUAUGAAUACCUGGAGGUGAUCACUGUUAACAUUUUGGUGAAUAUUUCAUCAGUAUUUUACUCCAUUUUGUGUGGGUAUAUGUGUGUUUUGUGUAUUUGGAAUCCUAUUAGGUGAAGCCAGGCCCCCUCAACCCCUUUAUUCAGUACUUUCCUGGGACAAUUUCUGGUGUCAUCUCAAAGUAGCAAGAUGUGGCUGUGGCCACUGGAGUAUAUUAUGUAUACUCUUUUAUCAUCUUUUUUUUUUCUGCCUUACUAAAUAAUUGUGAAUAUAUUUUAAAAGAAUUUCCUAUGUCAUCACUUCUUGUUGUUCCUAGGAGACAAGCAAGAGAAGGGUUUGCAGAGAACAAUGGCCCCAAAGAAGGUACAAGGUCAGGAAGGUGAGGAAGUUUUGUGAGUCAAGAGAGAACCUGGGACAAGGCUACUGAGGUCAGAAGAAGCCCUCAGAUGAACAGUUUCCCUAAGGCAAGACCACUCCUAGGAUACAGGGGUCAACCAAACUCAUGGAAGGUGGAAACUUUGUGCACUUCCAGGUAUGGUGAGUUCCACUGGCCCAGCCCUCCUUCAUGACCAGUUGCACUUAGUGUUCUCUCUCCCUAUAGCACCAAACCCAACACUGACAUGACCACCGUCUCCCGGGGACUUUGUACCCCCAAAUACAGGACUAUUUCUCAGCUGGCUUUAUAUCCCAGAUAUUAAGGCAGGGCCCUUCCUGGCAGCUCUGUCCCUGUUCCACAUAAAACUCUCUUCCAGUAGCAGGAUUUCUAGGCAUCUUCUAGUGGAACUAAUUUCAGCAGCUACAAGGAGUCAAAGGACACAAACAUUAGCAAGAGUCUGAGUCAGGGUUGACUGCAGGGAAAUAGCAUUAUGGAUCAGCCCAGGAUUCAAAUCUACACAAUGCGUCUGUAAAAACAAGAGAAGCAUUUACCUCUGAGGCAGUCAGCUUUCACUCUGAGGGCCUGUGACUAUUGAAGGGCAUCUCUAAGCACCAUCAUCUACACACACACACACACUCCGUUGAGACAACUGCCUAGAAAUUCCAGGUUGAACUUUCGCAGAGCAGGUAGUGAAAGGCAGCUGUGAUAAAUGCCUGUUAUGUGUACCAACCUGGCCUCUCUUGACUACAUCCUUUGCCACACCAGCCAAAUGGCACUGAUCUCCCAUCUCACCAGACUCUCCCUUGCAGCAACUAUGUCCAAGCCAUAGCCUUUCCAGGUAGACCACAUUCUAUAAGGACCCAAGCUUAACUUUCUAAUUGUAAGAGAGAAAGCCAGUUCCUGAUGGAGAUUUUAUAAGCACAUGGAUUGGCCUCUACCUCCUGUCCCUGCCUGCACAUGGUUCUUACAUGCCAGAAGAAAAAAUGUGUUAGCUGUUCUGAAUUCCACAGCCAACCCAUUUUCUCUGCCCAUUAAAACAGCUGUGAGCCAAAAAUACUUUACAGUACUCGAAUGAAAGAGCACAGAGUAUUCUUUUAAAAAAAAUUAAUAAAACCCCCUCUUUAAACUCUAAGAAGUUUUAUGUGGUCCACCACCAGGUGUCACCAAUUUCCCUAUUAUUAUAGACCAUCGUGUCAUUCUAAAGAGUUUGUUUAGAAAAUCUUAAUGAAACAUUUCAGCUUUUAAAAAAAAUUCCCCUUUGCACUGAAUGUGAAUUAACCUAUAAAAAUGAGUUGGAUAGAAAAGACAAAAUUUAGUUACACCUUUAAUUUUAUAACUGUCUUUGGACUGGUGACUGCUAUGAAUGAAAAAGAGGUAGCAAAGCAGAAAUGCCUCAUUUCAAUCUGAACCAUCACUUUUACGUUUGGCUUCCCUUGAAACUGAGGCUAUUCUCUUUGCUGUUCAGAUUCAAAGAUGACACCAGGCUGGGCUGGGGGUUAGUAGGAACUUACUAAUUGUCAAGUUUCUAAAAAGUCCAAAGAGAGAGUGUAACCAAAAAAGAGUUUACUAGGAUUUGAAAGUUUCCUUAAUUUGAAUUCAACCAAGGAAGGUUAAGAUAAACUUAAGGAUUAGGAAAAAAUAUGGUUUGAGAAAUUAUGAGUUUUAAUCAGCUAUUUUUAGGAUGUGGCUUAUUACUCUAAGGCAUGAAUAAAAUCUCUAGGCAUGAUUUUUGUCCUUCAGGAGACAUGUGGCCUGGGCUGGAAACAUUUUUGGAAAUAGCGAUAGGGAAAGGUGCUCCUGGCACUUGUGAGUAGAGUCCAGGGAUGCUGCUAAACAUCCAACAGCA
This 2335-nucleotide long non-coding RNA is filed under the name Sus scrofa (pig). RNAcentral describes it as "lncRNA (ENSSSCG00060024866.1)". The record is from RNAcentral. Lineage: Eukaryota; Metazoa; Chordata; Mammalia; Artiodactyla; Suidae.